RNAcentral lists this ribosomal RNA (425 nucleotides) under uncultured bacterium. RNAcentral describes it as "partial 16S ribosomal RNA". It matches the Rfam family "Bacterial small subunit ribosomal RNA", at positions 354 to 796 of the family's 1533-position model. The record is from RNAcentral.
GUGGGGAAUAUUGGACAAUGGGCGCAAGCCUGAUCCAGCCAUGCCGCGUGAGUGAUGAAGGCCCUAGGGUUGUAAAGCUCUUUCACCGGUGAAGAUAAUGACGGUAACCGGAGAAGAAGCCCCGGCUAACUUCGUGCCAGCAGCCGCGGUAAUACGAAGGGGGCUAGCGUUGUUCGGAAUUACUGGGCGUAAAGCGCACGUAGGCGGACAUUUAAGUCAGGGGUGAAAUCCCAGAGCUCAACUCUGGAACUGCCUUUGAUACUGGGUGUCUUGAGUAUGGAAGAGGUAAGUGGAAUUCCGAGUGUAGAAGUGAAAUUCGUAGAUAUUCGGAGGAACACCAGUGGCGAAGGCGGCUUACUGGUCCAUUACUGACGCUGAGGUGCGAAAGCGUGGGGAGCAAACAGGAUUAGAUACCCCGGUAGUCC